CUUCCGACAAAAUAAUUAUCGCUAUCAGCGCUUUCAAAACUUGCUAUUCGGUCGAGCUCUUCCCCGCUUCAGAAGACUCCAUUCUCUCCGAAGUUUUUGUUCAAUGUCAAAGUGACAGUCCCUAGGAGGUCUUCUUCCCACGGGUUAAUUGCCUUAUUUAUUAAAUUCACAGACGAGGACGAGUCGCUUGCUUAUUUUUAGAUUCAACCAUGGUUAGCUCUUAUCUAGUGAUUCAGACGUUAUCUAGCCUCGCUAUCGGAUGGAAUAUCAUAACUUGAGAUCCCGUAUCUACUGAUAAGUUUCCUCGCAAGCUGGUUGACAAAAAAAAAAAAAAAAAAACUGACGAAUUAGAAAGGUACAGUACCCAGAAGUAUAAUUACCCAGUCGAUGUCAUGCUGGAUAUAAGAAGUCAUAAACUUUUGCAAAGAGAAAUAUUCAUUGGGCAACUAUGAGUUGCAUUUUGGAACAAAUGUUUCAGAAGCUAACAUUGAGAAGAUUACAGGAACAACUUUUGAAAAUUCCUUGAUAAUCGCUGAUAAAUAGAAAACAGGAAAUACGCAUUAAUGGACAAUACGAAAUGCCCACGAAAUUAUUUUCCUCACUUAAAAUCAGGGAUUAAGACUGAUUCAACGGAAGAGAGAUAUGCUGAGAAGCAAAAGCAGCAUACCCCUCCACGUGGAAAGAAAUGUCAAGGCGACAUUGUAUACAUACAGAAUCCACUGUUCCAAAACUUCUUUAACAACGGUUUAACAGAGUUCAAAGACACUACUGGCAGCUGUGAAUAUUAUUCAAGAAAUCUUACCACGAAUUCGAAUCACGAGGGUAAUUAUCGCCACAAAUUAUACUCUCAGGAUUGUAACUUCCAGAAAUUUCAACAUCGCGAAUGUAACGGUGCGCAAAUAAAUGUAACCCAUAAAACUCGCAAAAGUAGAACAAAAGCAAGGGCUAAAACGAGAAGAGAUAUGUUGAUUAAUGAAAGCUCGGACGACGAUUACUGCUCUGUGAAUUCUUCGUUUGACUUGCAAUUAGCAGGCAACAGAAAUUCUUUAAACAUGAAUGACGCGUACAACAGGAGAAGUCGUUCGGCUAGAACAGAAAGAUACCUUCGCCGGUUGUCCAAGGAUGAAAAUUAUUAUGACAAUGAAUUUUGCACUGCAAAGAUUAGCUCCCCUACAAGAUUUCAAGAUGGUAAAUCGGCCUCGAGAAAAUGGGAAAGUCAAGUUCCUGCCCCUUCAAAUAAUCUUGACGAAUGCAACCCUAACUUGUUUUAUUUCAACCACAAUGACACAGUAUUAAAUAAUCCUAUUUAUAAUUUAUCCCGAGCAGAUUCUCCAAUUCUUUACCGUAGGCCCAGAUCGCAGACUGGUCGAAAAGAGUUUACUGAAAAUCAAGCUCACGGCGGGGAUUUUAACUACAGCAGAACGCGUUGUUCCGAUCCUGGCACCGACGCUUUUCUCGCUUACAAGAAUAAUAAAUUGCCACGCCCGCCUGACUACCUCCAAUAUGUUGAGCCAAAAAUAUUCAAUCAUGAGCAGUCAACUCAGAUUAUGCAACUAAAUAAACCAGCAGCUACUCACCGGGUUAAACGUUCCAAUUCGUUUCAAAGUGAACCUUUAAAAGAGUACGAAGUGAGGAACCAUAUUUGGCUAACAAUGGGUAGAAAACCAAAAGCUGAAGCUGGUAAAUUGGGCACUAGCAUUUCAAGUACUGAAGACAAGUGGAUCGAUUCAGUCUUACCACCAGUAUCGCCAAAGCCUGUUCCUACAUCAAGACAAGCUGGAUUAGAUUUCCAGAGCAGAAUAAUGUCGCUGCCAAAAGAAACGAGCAAACUUACAGCGAGCAAUACCAAAAUACCACAAAUGACAGAUUUGUCAAAGAUGUACAAUUCCAGUUCCACGAAUCUGUUGUCGGACACUGAUAAAGAUCAACAGAUUGCUAAAAAACGAAGUUCGAAAGAUUUCAGCAAGGAAUUAUCGGAACUGGAAAAAAUGUACGACAGUCUCCGUCUCAGUGACGAUAAUUUGCUGGAUAGAGCCGAAGAGCGUUGCAUCGAAGAGUUUAGCCAAAAGGGACAAUCUCAAUCCUCAGCUACUGAGCAUGCCAAGUAUCUCUCGAGCAGUUCGUCAUCCGAGUCUCUAAACUUGGAGGAUGGUACAGCGGGAGAAAAGUAUUCCCAGCAGUCCAGUGAGCCGCACGUUGUUAACGACGAUAUGGCAUACAGAAAAAUGCAAUCCAAAAGAAUGCCGGCACUGUCAGAAACCCAGAAUUCUCUGUCGCAGAUAAGCUAUCUGCUUGCAUCAUCGGCGCUGAUCCUUGACAAGACCGAUUAUCCAGAUGAUACGAUUAAAUUGACCAAAGAGGAACCAAAUAUAACAAAAGAUGAUAUGGUUUAUCGAAAUUUACAUUACGCAAACAAUGUCCUCAGGGUUGUCGAGCCUCAGCCGCCGUUUGGAAUACCUCUGAGGCCAGCAACCCCGUCCACCAAUAGCAACUACUUGUGCUCCUCGCCUGUGGUUGUAAAAAGUCCUCCGUUGAAGUACGUGCCUCAAAGCGAACCAAAUCUAAUAACGGAUGACCUGGCGUUCAGGAAUCUUAGGAAAGAUGCUCCAAAGGCAGCUACACCGCAACCUGAGGAAGACAGUAAAAACGAAAUGAAUGUUUUCCUGUUCAACACAGAUAUGGAUAAAACGUCUAAGGACGAUCAGUUCUUUAGAAAGAAAAAGAAAGCUGUAAGAUCUUUGUCAGCCAAUUUAUAUGGUCUGAUAAAAGAAGUAAAUAAUUUAGAUUUGAACGUUAUGUAAUCGAAUACAUAAUCAUUAUAAAUAUAAUCCAUCAAAUAUAGAAUAUUAGCAGCUGCUUUCAGCGUGCGUUACUAAUUAUACAGUUGGAAUAUGUAAAUUUCGAUUUUUCAAUUACAUGACAUAAAUGAAUCGAAGUAGCUGUAAUCGGACUAUAUUUUUGCCAAAGAAAUAUUUCAUGCGGAGAAUAAAGAAUGUUUGAUAAAAUUUAUCGACUUAUUUACCAAAUUGAAUAGAAGAAUAAAAUUCGCUCAAGUUUUAAAGAGGUAGGGUGAAUAGGUAUUAGUAGCAGAGUUAUUGCUUUCAAGUAAAUAAAUUGUUGCGUUGUGCUUAGCUUUUAUUAGGGUGCCAAAAAACGACGUUUUGGGUGAUCAGUGCCUUGUAGUAUUUUUGUUGCAUGUAUAAAAGUGAUUACAAAUCUUGAAUGGUUAUUUAUGAAACUUGAAGUUCUUAAAAAAAAUUAUAUUAUAUACAUACACAUACUGUUUAUAUAUAUACAUAAUAUAUUGUUAACUAUAUUUUCUAACUGUAUUUAAGCGAUGAUUGAUAAGAACAAAAUAAAAUAAUAAAUAAAAAAAAAUCUGAAUAUGGCAUGUUACAUUAACUUGUUACUUUUCCUUCACUUAUAUUUUCAAUACGCAUGUUCUUGCAAAAUAAUAACAACACCACAUUAGAAUAACUUCAUUUCUGAUGUGUAGCAUUUAUUUUUAAACUGUGAAUUGGUGCAUUAUCGUAAGUUGAAGUAUGCGACAUCUUUUUUCGACCCAAAAACUUGAAUACCUGUACUCUUGGUUUUUCAAAAUUAACAAUCGUUGGGUUUUAGAUUUACCAAUAAGAAGAAGAAAAAAACAUUUAGUCAACACUCACAAUGAAACGGACCCAAAGCAAACGGUCAGGUUCAGGAUUGCCGAGAGGCGUAAGCUUGAAAAAACCGUUUGGCUUCUGCUGUGACGUCAAGAAUCAAGACUUGGACACUCGGUACGACAGGAGACAGCCGCCGUUCAAGACAUCAAUGGAAAAGAUAUUUUUAAAUGGCGGAGGACCGGACUUGAAACUGCGAAUUCAGGAUAUUGGCAAACCUCCUUAUCCUAUUCGCAGAGAGAGUCGAAGAACAUUGAUUGGGGCCCCGAUGGGUGAGUGUAACAGAUGUCGAGGCCCACUGAAAUGGUACCUCGAGGAUGAAAUAUCCCUUGCACGCGACUUGCUGGCUCACGACAGGCAAACUAAGUACAAUGCAGACGCUGACAAGCAGGUUAAUAUCGCUUUGAAAAAAGUGAGAAGAAAAAAGGAACUCAUGAAAAAACAGAGGCAAUAGAAGGUGAACUAGGAUGGAGUAUGUGACGUGAUAGGAAGUACUUGAGAUUAUUCUGUAAUUCUCACAAUUCUUCACAAUCUUGACUGAUCUAACAUCGGAUUCAUUUUUCCAGUGAUCCGGAAUUAAGGUAAUUUAUACAUAUGUUUUUACUUUUCUUACUAAUAAACAACGAAAUCGACAAGCAAUUAAAUUUUUCAAACCUUCUUUUACGCCUUAGUAAUUUAUUUUCUCGAUGUACAAUUACCACAGAAAACAAACUGGAAACAAAAAAAUAUAUAUCUAUAGCAUGUGAUCACAAAUUUUUUUCCACAACAUAUCCUGCGUUGUCUGUUGAUAUAAUAUAAUAUGAUACAGUCAAGCAUUCGCUGCUUUGAGAAAGUGUUCUUGGGUACAAUAAAAAGAUAAUAGCAUUGUUAAGUGUAAAUAUUUCUCAACAAGGAAGCGUCGAUGCAAUUGAGAGAAAAAUACAAAAUUAAAGAAUGAAGAAAAAGAACAAUAAUACAAAAAGUACCAAAUGAACAACAGAAAGGAAUAACGCAUGUCUUUCAAGAAAACAAUUAGAUACUGCGGAAUUAACUGCGCAAUGGCAAACAACUGUAUUGCCAUAAUUGGUCAUCACUACACAGAGGAACUUUUAAUAUAUCACAUUAGCAUAUCAUUAUACGACAGAAUUCAGCGGUUUCUUUGCAUAAGUUCAUUAUGUCAAUACUGCUGCCGCAGCUUCUGAAUGAGUAUGUAAAUAUACCACAGCAGUCACAGAAAAGUCAAAAGAUAUGAAUUUAUAAUAUGUGUCUAUAUAUAUUUGUAUGUAUAUUGUGCGGAGCCACAAAUUUCACCGUCAAUGCGAUUCUAUACUACAUUAAUUCUGAACAUUUGUUUUUCCUCUUUAUAUCAUUAUAUACAUUCACAAGAUAUUGAGCCAGCAUUCUAUAAAUCAAAGGUAUACUUGAACGUCAGCAGAAUGUAUUUUUGUCGUCUUUAAUGGAAUAUUGUGAAAAAAAUUUCCAGUUUAAAAGAAAUUCAAAUUUUAUUAACAACGUUUUUUCUCUCAAGUUUGUGCAAAGCAAAUUCUAAAAAACUAUACGGUGCAAAAAAACAAUUUUUUUGGCACAAUUUAUCCUACGUAAUUUACCACCCAACAUUUUGAAAUUUCGGUAAGGCACAAAGUAUUUAAAUUUAACAAAAAUUGUUUCAAAGAGAUAAAGAAGAAAUACGAAGUUUUAAUCCAACUGUUAAAAGUUAGAGUAUGCUACGAUUGGCUUAAUUACACCUGAUUGAGGGCCAAUUGCAACACUACAUAUUCUUAAAAUAUUAGAGAUAACACAUAAUUCUAACAAUUGCGUACAUAUAAAAAGAAUUAUCGCUUGAAUCAAAUAUUAUAUUACUAGAAAACAACUUUGAAUACUUGUAAGCUAAAAAGUAAUAAUUAUAACUGAAAUAAGUCUGUUGUAUUAAUACACAUAUCUUAAUAAAGAGGGU
This 5592-nucleotide unclassified non-coding RNA is filed under the name Neodiprion pinetum (white pine sawfly). RNAcentral describes it as "uncharacterized LOC124217111, transcript variant X3". Lineage: Eukaryota; Metazoa; Arthropoda; Insecta; Hymenoptera; Diprionidae. The record is from RNAcentral.